GCAUCGGUGGCUCAGUGGUAGAAUUCUUGCCUUCCACGUAGGAGACCUGGGUUCAAUUACUGGUCAGUGCA
This 71-nucleotide transfer RNA is filed under the name Loxodonta africana (African savanna elephant). It matches the Rfam family "tRNA". Rfam says of the family: Transfer RNA (tRNA) molecules are approximately 80 nucleotides in length. The record is from Rfam by way of RNAcentral. Lineage: Eukaryota; Metazoa; Chordata; Mammalia; Proboscidea; Elephantidae.